RNAcentral lists this ribosomal RNA (507 nucleotides) under uncultured bacterium. RNAcentral's name for it is "bacterial SSU rRNA". It matches the Rfam family "Bacterial small subunit ribosomal RNA", at positions 25 to 518 of the family's 1533-position model. The record is from RNAcentral.
CAGGACGAACGCUGGCGGCGUGCCUAACACAUGCAAGUCGAGCGGGGACAUACGACGGAUAGGAAGUUUCGGAUGGAAUUGAAGAUGUAUUGUUCUAGCGGCGGACGGGUGAGUAACGCGUGAGCAACCUGUCCCUUACAGGGGGAUAACACAGCGAAAGUUGUACUAAUACCGCAUAAGACCACGGGGAGACAUCUUCCAGGGGUCAAAGGAGCAAUCCGGUAAGGGGUGGGCUCGCGUCCGAUUAGAUAGUUGGUGAGGUAACGGCCCACCAAGUCGACGAUCGGUAGCCGACCUGAGAGGGUGAUCGGCCACAUUGGGACUGAGACACGGCCCAAACUCCUACGGGAGGCAGCAGUGGGGAAUAUUGGGCAAAUGGGGGAAACCCUGACCCAGCAACGCCGCGUGAGGGAAGAAGGUUUUCGGAUCGUAAACCUCUGUCCUUGGUGAAGAGGAAGAGACGGUAGCCAAGGAGGAAGCCCCGGCUAACUACGUGCCAGCCGCGGC